GUUGCUGUAGUGAUGAGUUCACCUUUUGCCGUUUACCCAUCAGACAAUAAAAUGGUGAUAAUGUGACGAACUGAAACGCCAGC
This 83-nucleotide small nucleolar RNA is filed under the name Poecilia reticulata (guppy). RNAcentral describes it as "Small nucleolar RNA SNORD87 (ENSPREG00000020059.1)". The record is from RNAcentral. Lineage: Eukaryota; Metazoa; Chordata; Actinopteri; Cyprinodontiformes; Poeciliidae.